UGUCCAGGGAUGGGAAUCGAACCCACAAUGUUCCGCUUACCGGGCAGAUGCCAUGUCCACUAAGCUACCAUGGAC
RNAcentral lists this transfer RNA (75 nucleotides) under Cordylochernes scorpioides. RNAcentral's name for it is "tRNA-Thr". Lineage: Eukaryota; Metazoa; Arthropoda; Arachnida; Pseudoscorpiones; Chernetidae. The record is from RNAcentral.